AGCUUUAUAGUCAAUAUAUGAUAUUAGACUGCAAUUCUAAAGUAGAGUUGUUACUCUAAAGCUU
This 64-nucleotide transfer RNA is filed under the name Megymenum gracilicorne. RNAcentral's name for it is "tRNA-Cys". Lineage: Eukaryota; Metazoa; Arthropoda; Insecta; Hemiptera; Dinidoridae. The record is from RNAcentral. RNAcentral also lists the same sequence under 1 other name.